GUUUCAACCAAUGUGUUUUAUUACAUAUUUGCAUGUAUAGCAUUUUUAUUACAGAGUUAUCACAGAUUGAUAUAAUACACAUAUAAAUGAAUUAUUAACCAUUUAUAAAUUACUCACAAACCAUCUUAUCAUUUAUUUUGAUUCCAGCAACUAUAGUAUAUCACACACUCAUAUAUAAUCACAUUUGGGAAGAAGGUUCUAUCAAGUCAAGUGAGGUUUGUCAUGUUAUCCAUAACCUACUGUAGCAGGUGUAAAAGAAACACCUGAAACUAGAUCCCCUUCAAACUACCUGUUGGGGGAGGUUCUCUUCUGCACUGUUCGACCAAUCCAGUAAAUGUGGAGGAGGAGUUAAGAUUGAGUGUUGCUUUGUUAACGUCCAAAAGCAGAAGUUGUGUCACAGGCUCUCUUUCCAUUUCCCCUGACAACCAGAACAUCCACAGGUUCUCUUUCCAUUUCCCCUGACAACCAAAACACCCACAGGCUCUCUUUCCAUUUUCCCUGACAACAGGAACAUCCACAGGCUCUCUUUCCAUUUUCCCUGACAACAGGAACAUCCACAGGCUCUCUUUCCAUUUUCCCUGAGAACAGGAACAUCCACAGGCUCUCUUUCCAUUUCCCCUGACAACAGGAACACCCACAGGCUCUCUUUCCAUUUCCCCUGACAACCAAAACACCCACAGGCUCUCUUUCCAUUUCCCCUGACAACCAAAACACCCACAGGCUCUCUUCCCAUUUCCCCUGACAACAAGAACAUCCACAGUCUCUCAUUCCAUUUCCCUUGUAAACCAGAACAUCCGGUUGUUGGGGACUCAGCAGAGGCAGUGGCGACCCGUCAUCAGGGCAGGUUGAGCAGAGCCCACAUUUUUUGGCAAAAAAAAUCAAAUAUAUAUAUAUACACACUACCGGUCAAAAGUUUUAGAACACCUACUCAUUCAAUUUUCCACCAUAAUUUGCAAAUAAAUUCAUUAAAAAUCCUACAAUGUGAUUUUCUGGAUUUUUUUUUCUCAUUUUGUCUAUCAUAGUUGAAGUGUACCUAUGAUGAAAAUUACAGGCCUCUCUCAUCUUUUUAAGUGGGAGAACUUGCACAAUUGGUGGCUGACUAAAUACUUUUUUGCCCCACUGUAUAUAGCCCUUCUUACAUCAGCUGAUAUCUCAAAGUGCUGUACAGAAACCCAGCCUAAAAUCCCAAACAGCGAGCAAUGCAGGUGUAGAAGCAUGGUGGCUAGGAAAAACUCCCUAGAAAGGCCAAAACCUAGGAAGAAACCUACAGAGGAACCAGGCUAUGAGAGGUGGCCAGUCCUCUCCUGGCUGUGCCGGGUGGAGAUUAUAACAGAACAUGGCCAAGAUGUUCAAAUGUUCAUAAAUGACCAGCAGGGUCAAAUAACAAUAAUAACAGUAGUUGUCGAGGGUGCAGCAAGUCAGCACCUCAGGAGAAAAUGUGAGUUGGCUUUUCAUGGCUGAUCAUUGAGAGUAUCUCUACCGCUCCUGCUGUCUCUAGAGAGUUGAAAACAGCAGGUCUGGGACAGGUAGCAUGUCCGGUGAACAGGUCAGGGUUCCAUAGCUGCAGGCAGAGCAGUUGAAACUGGAGCAGCAGCACGGCCAGGUGGACUGGGGACAGCAAGGAGUCAUCAUGCCAGGUAGUCCUGAAGCAUGGUCCUAGGGCUCAGGUCCUCCGAGAGAAAGAAAGAAAGAGAGAAAGAGAGAAUUAGAGAGAGCAAACUUAAAUUCACACAGGACACCGGAUAAGACAGGAGAAGUACUCCAGAUAUAACAAACUGAACCUAGCCACCCGACACAUAAACUAAUGCAGCAUAAAUACUGGAUGCUGAGACAGGAGGGGUCAGGAGACACUGUGGCCCCAUUCGAUGAUACUCCCGGACAGGGCCAAACAGACAGCACAUAACCCCACACACUUUGCCAAAGCACAGCCCCCACACCACUAGAGGGAUAUCUUCAACCACCAACUUACCAUCCUGAGACAAGGCCGAGUAUAGCCCACCAAGAUCCCCGCCACAGCACAGCCCAAGGGGGAGCACCAACCCAGACAGGAAGAUCACAUCAGUGACUCAACCCACUCAAGUGACGCACCCCUCCUAGGGACGGCAUGGAAGAGCACCAGUAAGACAGUGACUCAGGCCCUGUAAUAGGGUUAGAGGCAGUGAAUCCCAGUGGAGAGAGGGGAAAACAGACAUCACAUGCUAGAGAACAGACAUCACAUGCUAGAGAACAGACAUCACAUGCUAGAGAACAGACAUCACAUGCUAUAGAACAGACAUCACAUGCUAGAGAACAGACAUCACAUGCUAGAGAACAGACAUCACAUGCUAUAGAACAGACAUCACAUGCUAGAGAACAGACAUCACAUGCUAUAGAACAGACAUCACA
This is a long non-coding RNA of Oncorhynchus tshawytscha (Chinook salmon), 2385 nucleotides long. The record is from Ensembl. Lineage: Eukaryota; Metazoa; Chordata; Actinopteri; Salmoniformes; Salmonidae.